This 93-nucleotide microRNA precursor is filed under the name Pelobates cultripes (western spadefoot toad). The record is from RNAcentral. Lineage: Eukaryota; Metazoa; Chordata; Amphibia; Anura; Pelobatidae.
CUCCAGAUGUUGCUGAACUACAACUCCCAUGAUUCUCAGUCUAUCUAUUCCAUUCAUAGAAUCAUGGGAGUUGUAGUUCAGCAACAUCUGGAG